Helianthus annuus (common sunflower) is the source of this 303-nucleotide long non-coding RNA. RefSeq lists it as uncharacterized. The record is from RefSeq and is a predicted model, not a curated record. NCBI's taxonomy places the organism in Eukaryota, Viridiplantae, Streptophyta, Magnoliopsida, Asterales, Asteraceae. The transcript has 2 exons.
AUAUAAAUAUUUUACCACUUCAACUUUUGAACCUCUGGUCAAGCCUGUUCACAACCAUCAAGUUGGUCAACCACAAAUAAACUACCAACAACUAUUAAAGGAUAUUUACAAACGUUCGCAAAUGAGUUGACAUCGCUUUGGAACAUUAAAAGGUUUCAAGGAUAUUCGAGAAGACUUGGAUGGAUGGUUCGAGAGAUUAAAGACGCACAUGGAUUUUCAUAAAAUUUUAAAAUGUUGUACAGUAUUUUGACUCAUUUAAAAUAAUGUAAAGUUUUACAAAUUUAUGAAAUGAUGUUUUAAGCU